RNAcentral lists this ribosomal RNA (994 nucleotides) under Sarcophaga noverca. Its description in RNAcentral is "eukaryotic LSU rRNA". It matches the Rfam family "Eukaryotic large subunit ribosomal RNA", at positions 111 to 931 of the family's 3401-position model. The record is from RNAcentral. Lineage: Eukaryota; Metazoa; Arthropoda; Insecta; Diptera; Sarcophagidae.
GCACUAAGUCACUUUGUCUUUAUGGCAAAUGUGAGAUGCAGUGUAUGGAAUGUCAAAUUUCUAGUAUGAGAAAUUAACGAUUUAAGUCCUUCUUAAAUGAGGCCAUUUACCCAUAGAGGGUGCCAGGCCCGUAUAACGUUAAUGAUUACUAGAUGGCAUUUCCAAAGAGUCGUGUUGCUUGAUAGUGCAGCACUAAGUGGGUGGUAAACUCCAUCUAAAACUAAAUAUAACCAUGAGACCGAUAGUAAACAAGUACCGUGAGGGAAAGUUGAAAAGAACUCUGAAUAGAGAGUUAAAUAGUACGUGAAACUGCUUAGAGGUUAAGCCCGAUGAACCUGAAUAUCCAUUAUAGAAAAUUCAUCAUUAUGAUUUUAAUAUUAAUAAUAUUAUAAUAAUGGUGUGCAUUUUUUCUAUAACGGACAUUGUAAUCUAUUAACAUAAAUAUAUUUAUCAUAAGAUCAAUGAUGCGUAAGUUUAUUCAAAUUAUUUUGCUUGCAAUUUAACAUAGAAUAAAUGCUCUUGAUUUGAUAAAGUGUUGAUAGAUUUAUUGUAUAUAGUGCUUAAAUAUUUAUAUUUUAUAAUAGCAUAUUAAUCAUUGAUUUUUAUGUUUAUUAUAUGCACUUAUAUGAUUAACAAUGCGAAAGAUUCAGGAUACCUUCGGGACCCGUCUUGAAACACGGACCAAGGAGUCUAACAUAUUUGCAAGUUAUUGGGUAUCAAAACCUAAUAGCGAAAUUAACAUAACUUUAUGGGAUUAGUUUUUAGAUUAUUUAUAGUCUAUUAAUUCAAUCCCGGGGCGUUCUAUACGGUUAUGUAUAAUAAUAUUUAUAUUAUUUAUACCUCUAACUAGAGCGUACCUUGAGCAUAUAUGCUGUGACCCGAAAGAUGGUGAACUAUACUUGAUCAGGUUGAAGUCAGGGGAAACCCUGAUGGAAGACCGAAACAGUUCUGACGUGCAAAUCGAUUGUCAGAAUUGAGUAUAGGGGCGAAAGAC